AAAUUAAAUUAAAUUAAAUUAAAUUAAAUUUGCAAUUUAAUAUUUAAAUUUAUUUAUA
RNAcentral lists this transfer RNA (58 nucleotides) under Orseolia oryzae (Asian rice gall midge). RNAcentral's name for it is "tRNA-Ala". The record is from RNAcentral. Lineage: Eukaryota; Metazoa; Arthropoda; Insecta; Diptera; Cecidomyiidae.